This 296-nucleotide ribosomal RNA is filed under the name uncultured bacterium. RNAcentral describes it as "partial 16S ribosomal RNA". It matches the Rfam family "Bacterial small subunit ribosomal RNA", at positions 333 to 644 of the family's 1533-position model. The record is from RNAcentral.
ACACUCCUACGGGACGCAGCAGUGGGGAAUAUUGGGCAAUGGGCGCAAGCCUGACCCAGCGACGCCGCGUGAGGGAAGACGGUCUUCGGAUUGUAAACCUCUUUCAGCAGGGAAGACAAAAGGACGGUACCUGCAGAAGAAGCCACGGCUAACUACGUGCCAGCAGCCGCGGUAAUACGUAGGUGGCGAGCGUUAUCCGGAAUUACUGGGUGUAAAGGGUGUGUAGGCGGGGCUGCAAGUCAGAUGUGAAAAUUAUGGGCUCAAACCCUAACCUGCGUCUGAAACUGUAGCUCUUG